Non-coding RNA from Mycena floridula, 93 nucleotides. Lineage: Eukaryota; Fungi; Basidiomycota; Agaricomycetes; Agaricales; Mycenaceae. The record is from the annotation of a GenBank genome assembly.
ACACCAAUGGUGAAGCGGUUAUCAUGCUUGCCUUCCAUAGAAAGCCUUCUUAAGAUGUAGCAAGCGGCAGGGGUUCGACUCCCCUUUGGUGUA